This 1405-nucleotide long non-coding RNA is filed under the name Pongo abelii (Sumatran orangutan). RNAcentral describes it as "lincRNA". The record is from RNAcentral. Lineage: Eukaryota; Metazoa; Chordata; Mammalia; Primates; Hominidae.
AAUGAUGGCAGGAAUGAAAAGUUCUGUAGGAUUAAGUGGCUCCAAAGUUCUGAAAGACUCUGACUUAGAGUGGUGCUCACUCUGGCCAAAGAAAAUCACCAAUGAACGCUACAGUCUGCAGCCCAGCCCAGUCAGCAGGCUUGGUCAGGGUUCCAGAAUAAAUGCCUGGGCAAAGUAGUCUGUGGCUCUGUUGGGCUAGGCCCAGCAUGACUGGAAGGAGAGAGGUGAAGUGGGAUCACAGGCCCGAUGGAAGCCUAUGGGAAGUGAAAAGUUCCACUGAGUCUCGUGGAUACACAGCUAUGGGGAGACAUCUAGACAGAUAUUCCCAUAAGGAUUCUGGCAGGCCACAUCAUCGCGAGCCAGGGAAUCUCACUUCCCUGUGGAGUCCAGUUCUCAUCCAAAAUAAAAGAGGUAAUACACCUACUGACCAAAAAUGAACUCGAAUCCUGACUCAUGGGGCAUCUCUGGACACUGUCUUCUGGUGGAAAACUCAUCUACUGGCCCUUGAUUGCACUGGCAUUUGUCAUUAUCCUUGUUUACAGUCUUUGAGCCGGUUUUCAAUCCAUGCAACAGUAUUUCUGUCCAAAUCCAUUUGUACAACUUUUUCAGUUCGGAUUUCACAAGGCAUUGGAUCAAAUGUACUACGGAAGGUCCAGGUAUAUGACAUUUACACAUUCCCUUCCUCAGUCAUUUUGUAAUUAGAUUCUUUUAAAAGUAGGGGUGGCAUGAGUGAGGGGAGAUCAAGUUUCACUGGCGCAACCUGCCUGUGCUGUCGCACCACCUGGCGAAAACUCCUGUGUGGAAGUAUCGCCGCCGGCACAAGUUGAAUACCCACGGUAAGCUGGAGGGGUUUUUAAUGGAACUGAAAUAUCAGCUGCUUCUCACAUUCCUCACGGCAUAUUGUCCAACGAAGCAGCCCCUUUUUCAUCAGCUCUAGCCAGGAAUCGUUGAGUCAUUUUAGAUCCACUUUUAUCCUUUGAUCAACGUUUGAUCUAUGGGAUGAAGCCAAAUUGUGAGUCCAUCAGCUUCCCUCACUUGUGCUGUUUCCCUCUCUCUUUUAUGCACUCAGUUAUUAACACUCACUUCUAACCGAACUCAUUUCUAACCAGCUGUACCUCUGUAAAGCUUUAUUCUUUGGCUUAAGCUAGUCACUUAGCUGUUGCAGGCUGUUUUAGUCAGCUGGUCAAGUUGACCCUGGUACCGUGGGCACAGUCCUUAUUACUCAGGCACUUCAUGUUCUUAAAUGAAGUCGCCCUAAAGCGUUGGCUUAUAUUGUCUCUCAUCUUCAGUGGGCUGAGAGCAAACACAGCUAUCUGGAUUUCAUUGCAUUUUUUUUUUUCUUUCUUAAGUCUGGAGACAUUUAAUCCCCAAUAAAAAAAAAGUCAGCAGAGCUUGUGUGGUUGAG